This 433-nucleotide ribosomal RNA is filed under the name uncultured bacterium. RNAcentral's name for it is "partial 16S ribosomal RNA". It matches the Rfam family "Bacterial small subunit ribosomal RNA", at positions 30 to 507 of the family's 1533-position model. The record is from RNAcentral.
AACGAACGCUGGCGGCAUGCCUAACACAUGCAAGUCGAACGAGACCUUCGGGUCUAGUGGCGCACGGGUGCGUAACGCGUGGGAACCUGCCCUUAGGUUCGGAAUAACUCCCCGAAAGGGGUGCUAAUACCGGAUAAUGUCUUCGGACCAAAGAUUUAUCGCCUUUGGAUGGGCCCGCGUUGGAUUAGCUAGUUGGUAGGGUAAAAGCCUACCAAGGCGACGAUCCAUAGCUGGUCUGAGAGGAUGAUCAGCCACACUGGGACUGAGACACGGCCCAGACUCCACCGGGAGGAGGAGGGGGGAAAUAUGGAAAAGGGGGAAAAAGCUGAACCCAGAAAGGCCGCGGGAGAAAGAAGGGCGUUGGGGUUGAAAAGCUUUUUUACCGGGGAGAAAAAGAACAGAACGGGAAAAAAAAGCCCGGGAAAACUCCGGG